GUAGUCAUAUUGCUGUCUCAAGAUUAAGCAUGCAUGUCUAAGUAUAAGCAAUAUACGUGAACUGCUAUAGCUCAGUAAUCAGUAUCGGUUAUAGAUAGUACCUUACUACUCGAUAACCGUGGUAAUUCUAGAGCUAAUACAUGCUUAAAAACUCCAACUUCGGGAGGCGUGUAUUUAUUAGAUAAUAAACCCAAUGCCCUUUCGGGGCUCUUUGGUGAUUCAUGAUAACUUCUCAGAUCGCAUAGCCAUGUGCUGGCGACGGUUCAUUCAAAUUUCUGCCCUAUCAACUUUCGAUGGUAAGGUAUUGGCUUACCAUGGUUUCAACGGGUAACGGGGAAUUAGGGUUCGAUUCCGGAGAGGGAGCCUGAGAAACGGCUACCACAUCCAAGGAAGGCAGCAGGCGCGCAAAUUACCCAAUUCCGAUACGGAGAGGUAGUGACAAUAAAUACUGAUACAGGGCUCUUUUGGGUCUUGUAAUUGGAAUGAGUACAAUUUAAACCUCUUAACGAGGAACAAUUGGAGGGCAAGUCUGGUGCCAGCAGCCGCGGUAAUUCCAGCUCCAAUAGCGUAUAUUAAAGUUGUUGCAGUUAAAAAGCUCGUAGUUGAACCUUUGGCCUGGCUGGCAGGUCCGCCUCACCGCGUGCACUUGUCCGGCCGGGCCUUUUCUUCUGGAGAACCGCAUGCCCUUCACUGGGUGUGUUGGGGACCAGGACUUUUACUUUGAAAAAAUUAGAGUGUUCAAAGCAGGCCUUUGCUCGAAUACGUUAGCAUGGAAUAAUAGAAUAGGACGUGCGGUCCUAUUUUGUUGGUUUCUAGGACCGCCGUAAUGAUUAAUAGGGACAGUCGGGGGCAUCAGUAUUCAAUUGUCAGAGGUGAAAUUCUUGGAUUUAUUGAAGACUAACUACUGCGAAAGCAUUUGCCAAGGAUGUUUUCAUUAAUCAGUGAACGAAAGUUAGGGGAUCGAAGACGAUCAGAUACCGUCGUAGUCUUAACCAUAAACUAUGCCGACUAGGGAUCGGGCGGUGUUUCUAUUGUGACCCGCUCGGCACCUUACGAGAAAUCAAAGUGUGUGGGUGCUGGGGGGAGGUACGUCCCCA
This 1097-nucleotide ribosomal RNA is filed under the name Stagonosporopsis centaureae. Its description in RNAcentral is "SSU rRNA". It matches the Rfam family "Eukaryotic small subunit ribosomal RNA", at positions 20 to 1133 of the family's 1831-position model. Lineage: Eukaryota; Fungi; Ascomycota; Dothideomycetes; Pleosporales; Didymellaceae. The record is from RNAcentral.